AACCAUAGAAACCUGCGGAGUACCUGCGGAAGGAUCAUUACAGAGUGUAACCCCCUGUAAAAUGGGGGUACCUCCCGUCCUUUGCAGGCCCUUUAGGGUCUUUUACUCUUUGCUUCGGUGGGGUAACCCACCGGAACACUCUCAAAAAAUUCUGAUUUUAAAAUUGUUCAGUCUGAGAAUUUUGAAAAUAAAAUAAAAACUUUCAACAACGGAUCU
This 216-nucleotide unclassified non-coding RNA is filed under the name soil metagenome. RNAcentral's name for it is "partial contains 5.8S ribosomal RNA, internal transcribed spacer 2, and large subunit ribosomal RNA". The record is from RNAcentral.